GACGAACGCUGGCGGCGUGCUUAACACAUGCAAGUCGAACGAUGAACCCGGAGCUUGCUCCGGUGGAUUUGUGGCGAACGGGUGAGUAACACGUGAGUAACCUGCCCUUGACUCUGGGAUAACUGCGGGAAACUGUAGCCAAUACCGGAUACGACCCUCGGCGGCAUCGCCAGGGGGUGGAACGAAUUUCGGUCAAGGAUGGACUCGCGGCCUAUCAGCUAGUUGGUGAGGUACAGGCGCACCAAGGCGCCGACGGGUAGCCGGCCGGAGAGGGUGACCGGCCACACUGGACUGAGACACGGCCCAGACUCCUACGGGAGGCAGCAGUGGGGAAUAUUGCACAAUGGGCGCAAGCCUGAUGCAGCAACGCCGCGUGAGGGAUGACGGCCUUCGGGUUGUAAACCUCUUUUAGUAGGGAAGAAGCGAAAGUGACGGUACCUGCAGAAAAAGCACCGGCUAACUACGUGCCAGCAGCCGCCGUAA
This 483-nucleotide ribosomal RNA is filed under the name uncultured bacterium. RNAcentral describes it as "partial 16S ribosomal RNA". It matches the Rfam family "Bacterial small subunit ribosomal RNA", at positions 28 to 523 of the family's 1533-position model. The record is from RNAcentral.